RNAcentral lists this ribosomal RNA (432 nucleotides) under uncultured bacterium. RNAcentral's name for it is "bacterial SSU rRNA". It matches the Rfam family "Bacterial small subunit ribosomal RNA", at positions 29 to 507 of the family's 1533-position model. The record is from RNAcentral.
AGCGAACGCUGGCGGCAGGCCUAAAACAUGCAAGUCGAACGGAUCCUUCGGGAUUAGUGGCGGACGGGUGAGUAACACGUGGGAACGUGCCUUUUGGUUCGGAACAACUCAGGGAAACUUGAGCUAAUACCGAAUGUGCCCUUCGGGGGAAAGAUUUAUCGCCAUUAGGGCGGCCCGCGUCUGAUUAGCUUGUUGGUGAGGUAAAGGCUCACCAAGGCGACGAUCAGUAGCUGGUCUGAGAGGAUGAUCAGCCACACUGGGACUGAGACACGGCCCAGACUCCUACGGGAGGCAGCAGUUAGGAAUCUUGCGCAAUGGGGGAAACCCUGACGCAGCCAUGCCGCGUGAAUGAUGAAGGUCUUAGGAUUGUAAAAUUCUUUCAGCGGGGACGAUAAUGACGGUACCCGCAGAAGAAGCCCCGGCUAACUCGUG